CGUAGGGGGCAAGCGUUGUCCGGAUUUAUUGGGCGUAAAGCGCUCGCAGGUGGUCCGUCGCGUCGUGCGUGAAAGCCCCCGGCUCAACUGGGGAGUGUCGUGCGAUACGGGCGGACUGGAGGCCAGUAGGGGGAUGCGGAAUUCCGGGUGUAGUGGUGGAAUGCGUAGAGAUCCGGAGGAACACCAGCGGCGAAGGCGGCAUCCUGGACUGGUCCUGACACUCAUGAGCGAAAGCGUGGGGAGCGAUCCGGAUUAGAUACCCGGGUAGUCCACGCCGUAAACGAUGCGCACUAGGUGUCGGGGGUAUCGACCCCCUCGGUGCCGCAGCUAACGCGAUAAGUGCGCCGCCUGGGGACUACGGCCGCAAGGCUA
Molecule: ribosomal RNA, 372 nt
Filed under: uncultured organism
Description: bacterial SSU rRNA
Rfam family: Bacterial small subunit ribosomal RNA
Source: RNAcentral